GUGGGGAAUCUUGCGCAAUGGGCGAAAGCCUGACGCAGCCAUGCCGCGUGAAUGAUGAAGGUCUUAGGAUUGUAAAAUUCUUUCACCGGGGACGAUAAUGACGGUACCCGGAGAAGAAGCUCCGGCUAACUUCGUGCCAGCAGCCGCGGUAAUACGAAGGGGGCUAGCGUUGCUCGGAAUUACUGGGCGUAAAGGGCGCGUAGGCGGACAGCUUAGUCAGAGGUGAAAGCCCAGGGCUCAACCUUGGAAUUGCCUUUGAUACUGGCUGACUUGAGUUUGGGAGAGGUGAGUGGAACUCCGAGUGUAGAGGUGAAAUUCGUAGAUAUUCGGAAGAACACCAGUGGCGAAGGCGACUCACUGGCCCAAUACUGACGCUGAGGCGCGAAAGCGUGGGGAGCAAACAGGAUUAGAUACCCUUGUAGUCC
RNAcentral lists this ribosomal RNA (425 nucleotides) under uncultured bacterium. RNAcentral describes it as "partial 16S ribosomal RNA". It matches the Rfam family "Bacterial small subunit ribosomal RNA", at positions 354 to 796 of the family's 1533-position model. The record is from RNAcentral.